This is a small nucleolar RNA of Rattus norvegicus (Norway rat), 126 nucleotides long. Ensembl annotates it as small nucleolar RNA SNORA28. The record is from Ensembl. Lineage: Eukaryota; Metazoa; Chordata; Mammalia; Rodentia; Muridae.
AUGCAACACUCUGUGGCAGAUGAACAAAACUGUCUGACACAAUUUGAGCUUGCUAUAGGAAGAAAGUCUGACCUAUUCCGGUGUUCUCUUCCCCGUAAGACAAGCCGUUUUGUAGGCUCAAACAAA